RNAcentral lists this ribosomal RNA (453 nucleotides) under uncultured bacterium. RNAcentral's name for it is "bacterial SSU rRNA". It matches the Rfam family "Bacterial small subunit ribosomal RNA", at positions 340 to 786 of the family's 1533-position model. The record is from RNAcentral.
UACGGAAGGCAGCAGUGGGGAAUAUUGCACAAUGGGCGCAAGCCUGAUGCAGCCAUGCCGCGUGUAUGAAGAAGGCCUUCGGGUUGUAAAGUACUUUCAGUCGUGAGGAAGGUGUUAAGGUUAAUAACCUUAGCAAUUGACGUUAGCGACAGAAGAAGCACCGGCUAACUUCGUGCCAGCAGCCGCGGUAAUACGGAGGGUGCGAGCGUUAAUCGGAAUUACUGGGCGUAAAGGGCACGCAGGCGGUUAAUUAAGUUGGAUGUGAAAUCCCCGGGCUUAACCUGGGAAUGGCAUUCAAGACUGGUUAGCUAGAGUCUUGUAGAGGGGGUAGAAUUCCAUGUGUAGCGGUGAAAUGCGUAGAGAUGUGGAGGAAUACCGGUGGCGAAGGCGGCCCCUGGGACAAGACUGACGCUCAUGUGCGAAAGCGUGGGGAGCAAACAGGGAUUAGAUACC